UGGUUCUGGCAUCGAUGAAGAACGCAGCGAAAUGCGAUAAGUAAUGUGAAUUGCAGAAUUCAGUGAAUCAUCGAAUCUUUGAACGCACAUUGCGCCCUCUGGUAUUCCGGAGGGCAUGCCUGUUCGAGCGUCAUUACAACCCUCAAGCUCUGCUUGGUGUUGGGCCUCACCAGCUCUGGUGUGCCCUAAAAUCAGUGGCGGUGCCAUCUGGCUCUAAGCGUAGUACAACCCUCGCUAUGGAUGCCUGGUGGAUGCUAGCCAGCAACCCCAAUUACUUCUGGUUGACCUCGGAUCAGGUAGGGAUACCCGCUGA
RNAcentral lists this unclassified non-coding RNA (313 nucleotides) under uncultured fungus. RNAcentral describes it as "partial contains 5.8S ribosomal RNA and internal transcribed spacer 2". The stretch from base 1 to 133 matches the Rfam family "5.8S ribosomal RNA", at positions 22 to 154 of the family's 154-position model. Lineage: Eukaryota; Fungi. The record is from RNAcentral.